ACCAAGAUUAAUAUUUAGUAUGUUUGAUAUGAAUAUGUACACAAUUGAUCCUUUGAUUUCUCAGCCUUCAGAUCCAAUGUCUUUCUGUCCGAAAUUUUCAUACCCACAGCCACAUCCUAACCCUGUUUCCCCAGCUACACCACCAUCAACACUUCCAUAUCCACCUACUCCCUCAAUGCCUCAUUUCCCCUAUUUGGAUGCUUCAGCUUGCCCACAUCAGAGCUGGAUGAUGCCAGAAUACCGCUGCUACUGGAAAGUAAUAAAUCCAGAUUUAAAAGUAGGUGUUGUAUUUGGCCUAAUUGCAGCUAGAAAAUAUGGAACUGAUAUGACAUUAUGGGAGGGAAUGCAAGGUAGAGGAGAACCUUAUAAAACUUUGUUAAGAGAAGGGACAACUGCACUUUUGAAUUCUUAUAACAGUGUACAAUUUCCAUAUCAUCCAUUGAGUGUUGUUCAACAUAUGAAUUGGGCAUUAAUGGGAUCA
This 481-nucleotide unclassified non-coding RNA is filed under the name Hevea brasiliensis (rubber tree). Lineage: Eukaryota; Viridiplantae; Streptophyta; Magnoliopsida; Malpighiales; Euphorbiaceae. The record is from RNAcentral.